GCAGAGUAGGGGGAAAGCCUGCAGCAGGGCUGGCUGUUAAACCCAGGACCGCCUGCCAUCCCAUUCCUGAGGUCCAAGCACUUCCCUUUACAGCAGACCAAGCUUUAGGAUCAGCCACAGGGUGCUUGGUAGCUGGCUCAUGGGCCCUGCCUAGUAGACGUUAAGGCUGCCUAGGAACCAGCCUUUUGGGACUUCCUAGACUACUUUACUACAAACACUGGAUCUGCCAGGCCUUGACUGUGAGGCAGUGAGCCCUGAGUGUCCCAGGCUGGCAGGAGUAGUUACUACACAGAAGGAAGGCCAAAGCCACAUUCACCUGGUAAUGUGGCGGCUGCACCCAGCCUUCCUUGGCUCAGACGGAACUUUUUUUUUUUCUGAAUAACUUUUUGGGGGUAGAAACCAAAUUUCUUUAAUAUAUAUAUACACAUAUGGAUAACUAUGUAUACACACUUUGGGGGCCUAUUUAUGUUCCAUUGUAAGUCAUUCUUUGUCUGUCUGGUCUGCUUCCUGAUGUGUUUUGUUUCCUAUUGUAAUGGUGCUUUUCCUGGGAUGGACUAAACGGUUUAUUUUCUGUUCUGAUUAAUGUGCUGAGAAAGAAACGGGAGACCUUGAAUGUUGACAGGAUCCAUGGUGAGGGUGUUUGGGUUAUGUGUUAAAUAGCCAUUCGUUCUGGAAGACCAGGACGGGGCCAUAAUAAAGUGGAAAGGACUGUGA
Molecule: long non-coding RNA, 714 nt
Filed under: Rattus norvegicus (Norway rat)
Lineage: Eukaryota; Metazoa; Chordata; Mammalia; Rodentia; Muridae
Description: long non-coding RNA NONRATT025276
Source: RNAcentral